Molecule: long non-coding RNA, 333 nt
Organism: Sinocyclocheilus anshuiensis
Lineage: Eukaryota; Metazoa; Chordata; Actinopteri; Cypriniformes; Cyprinidae
Exons: 2
Source: RefSeq, a predicted model, not a curated record
GUGAAUUUUUAGGGUUUUUGCUUGGGAACCUUCCUGAUGAGCAUUUCUCCCAUAUGAAUAUGGGGUCAGUGACAAAGGGUCUGGUGAUGCUGCUGCAGGAUCCAGAUCCUCUCGUGCGAGUGAAAGCCGCUGAAGCCAUGGGUCAUUUUCACUGAUGUUACCUCCACUCUGCAGCCAAUCAGAUUAGUCUUUGAUUUCAAGUUUGUUGCUUUGGAUAAGGAGGAAGCUUUGAAUUGUUGUUCUGUAAUAAGCCUCGAAAGGUUUUUAUUAUUGACCAAAGACUGUGCACUAGUUCUGUAAGAAAAGAGAAGAAUAAAAAGGAGAAGACAUUUA